CAGGGAUUCCCCUAGUAACGGCGAGUGAAGCGGGAACAGCUCAAAUUUGAAAUCUGGCCCUCGGGUCCGAGUUGUAAUUUGUAGAGGAUGCUUUUGGUGCGGUGCCUUCCGAGUUCCCUGGAACGGGACGCCACAGAGGGUGAGAGCCCCGUAUGGUUGGACACCUAGCCUCUGUAAAGCUCCUUCGACGAGUCGAGUAGUUUGGGAAUGCUGCUCUAAAUGGGAGGUAAAUUUCUUCUAAAGCUAAAUACUGGCCAGAGACCGAUAGCGCACAAGUAGAGUGAUCGAAAGAUGAAAAGCACUUUGAAAAGGGGGUUAAAUAGCACGUGAAAUUGUUGAAAGGGAAGCGUUUAUCACCAGACUUUUUCUGGGGGGAUCAUCCGGUGUUCUCACCGGUGCACUUCCCCCAGUGGAGGCCAGCAUCGGUUUUCGGAGGGGGAUAAAAGCUUCGGGAAUGUGACUCCCUCGGGAGUGUUAUAGCCCGUUGCAUAAUACCCUUCUGGGGACCGAGG
RNAcentral lists this ribosomal RNA (512 nucleotides) under Diaporthales sp. RNAcentral describes it as "partial large subunit ribosomal RNA". It matches the Rfam family "Eukaryotic large subunit ribosomal RNA", at positions 69 to 591 of the family's 3401-position model. The record is from RNAcentral. Lineage: Eukaryota; Fungi; Ascomycota; Sordariomycetes; Diaporthales.